Molecule: ribosomal RNA, 933 nt
Filed under: uncultured delta proteobacterium
Lineage: Bacteria; Deltaproteobacteria
Description: bacterial SSU rRNA
Rfam family: Bacterial small subunit ribosomal RNA
Source: RNAcentral
AGAGUUUGAUCCUGGCUCAGGACGAACGCUGGCGGCGUGCCUAAUACAUGCAAGUCGAACGAGAAAGCGGGGCAACUCGUGAGUAAAGUGGCAGACGGGUGAGUAAUACGUAGGUAAUCUUCCCUCAAAUUGGGGAUAACCUUCCGAAAGGAGGGCUAAUACCGAAUAAGACCACAGUGACACAAGUCACAGGGGUUAAAGUUGGCCUCUAUUUAUAAGCUAACGAUUGAGGAUGAGCUUACGCACCAUCAGCUAGUUGGUAGGGUAACGGCCUACCAAGGCUCUGACGGUUAGCUGAUCUGAGAGGUUGAUCAGCCACACUGGAACUGAGACACGGUCCAGACUCCUACGGGAGGCAGCAGUAGGGAAUAUUGCGCAAUGGAGGAAACUCUGACGCAGCGACGCCGCGUGGGUGACGAAGGUCUUCGGAUCGUAAAGCCCUGUCGGAAGGGACGAAAGACGUGAUGGCUAAUAUCCAUCACGAGUGACGGUACCUUUAAAGGAAGCACCGGCUAACUACGUGCCAGCAGCCGCGGUAAUACGUAGGGUGCAAGCGUUGUUCGGAAUCAUUGGGCGUAAAGCGCGUGUAGGCGGCUAUUUAAGUCGGGUGUGAAACCCCUCGGCUCAACCGAGGAAGUGCAUUCGAAACUGGAUAGCUUGAAGAUGGUAGGGGAAGGUGGAAUUCCAAGUGUAGAGGUGAAAUUCGUAGAUAUUCGGAGGAAUACCGGUGGCGAAGGCGGCCUUCUGGGCCACUCUUGACGCUGAGACGCGAAAGCGUGGGUAGCAAACAGGAUUAGAUACCCUGGUAGUCCACGCCGUAAACGAUGGGUACUAGGUGUUGUGGGAAUUGACCCCCGCAGUGCCGACGCUAACGCAUUAAGUACCCCGCCUGGGAAGUACGGCCGCAAGGUUAAAACUCAAAGGAAUUGACGG